This 855-nucleotide ribosomal RNA is filed under the name uncultured organism. Its description in RNAcentral is "bacterial SSU rRNA". It matches the Rfam family "Bacterial small subunit ribosomal RNA", at positions 527 to 1382 of the family's 1533-position model. The record is from RNAcentral.
AGAGGGUGCAAGCGUUAUUCGGAAUUACUGGGCGUAAAGCGCGCGUAGGCGGAUGAUUAAGUCAGUUGUGAAAGCCCUGGGCUCAACCUAGGAACUGCAUCUGAUACUGGUCAUCUAGAGUUUAAGAGAGGGAAGUGGAAUUCCAGGUGUAGCAGUGAAAUGCGUAGAUAUCUGGAGGAACAUCAGUGGCGAAGGCGACUUCCUGGCUUAAAACUGACGCUGAGGUGCGAAAGCGUGGGUAGCGAACGGGAUUAGAUACCCCGGUAGUCCACGCCGUAAACGAUGUCAACUAGUUGUUGGUCUUAUUAAAAAGAUUAGUAACGAAGCUAACGCGAUAAGUUGACCGCCUGGGGAGUACGGUCGCAAGAUUAAAACUCAAAGGAAUUGACGGGGGCCCGCACAAGCGGUGGAGCAUGUGGUUUAAUUCGAUGCAACGCGAAGAACCUUACCAUCCCUUGACAUGUAGUGAACUUUCCAGAGAUGGAUUGGUGCCUUCGGGAACACUAACACAGGUGCUGCAUGGCUGUCGUCAGCUUGUGUCGUGAGAUGUUGGGUUAAGUCCCGCAACGAGCGCAACCCUUAUCUUUAGUUGCUACCAUUAAGUUGAGAACUCUAAAGAGACUGCCGGUGAUAAACCGGAGGAAGGUGGGGACGACGUCAAGUCAUCAUGGCCCUUAUGGGAUGGGCUACACACGUGCUACAAUGGGGGGUACAAAGAGCUGCUAACUGGCAACAGUGUGCGAAUCUCAAAAAGCCUCUCGUAGUCCGGAUCGGAGUCUGCAACUCGACUCCGUGAAGUCGGAAUCGCUAGUAAUCGCGGAUCAGAAUGCCGCGGUGAAUACGUUCCCGGGCCUU